Molecule: transfer-messenger RNA, 303 nt
Filed under: Candidatus Pelagibacter communis
Lineage: Bacteria; Pseudomonadati; Pseudomonadota; Alphaproteobacteria; Candidatus Pelagibacterales; Candidatus Pelagibacteraceae
Rfam family: Alphaproteobacteria transfer-messenger RNA
About the family: Bacterial tmRNA, also known as 10Sa RNA or SsrA, is named for its dual tRNA and mRNA-like properties. Its role is to liberate the mRNA from a stalled ribosome. To accomplish this part of the tmRNA is used as a reading frame that ends in a translation stop signal.
Source: RNAcentral
CUUAUUGUAUGUUUAAAAUAACUUUAUUAUAUUAAUAAUGUUGGUUUUCCAACUACAACGAUAAACGAAUUUCGUAAUAACCAUUACGGACGUGGGGGCAGUACCCACCACCUCCACCAUUACAACUUAUGGGGGGUGAAAUAGGAUCGACGGGUGACUAAAGGCUAUUCUUUCGUUCGGGAUUGUUCCACCGUAACGGGCUAAACUUUAAAUGCUGACGAAAGUUACGCACUUGCUGCAUAAUUAACUUAGGUUAAUUGUAGAAGCACGGUCUGGGGCACCGGGUAACAGAACGCCCCUACU